AGAAUCAACGCUGGCGGCGUGCCUAACGACGAUGCAAGUCGAACGAGAAAGUGGAGCAAUCCAUGAGUAAAGUGGCGCACGGGUGAGUAACACGUGACUAACCUACCCUCGAGUGGGGAAUAACUUCGGGAAACCGAGGCUAAUACCGCAUAAAACCUAAGGGUCAAAGGAGCAAUCCGUUUGAGGAGGGGGUCGCGGCAGAUUAGUUAGUUGGCGGGGUAAUGGCCCACCAAGACGAUGAUCUGUAUCCGGCCUGAGAGGGCGCACGGACACACUGGAACUGAAACACGGUCCAGACUCCUACGGGAGGCAGCAGUGGGGAAUUUUGCGCAAUGGGGGAAACCCUGACGCAGCAACGCCGCGUGGAGGAUGAAAUCCCUUGGGAUGUAAACUCCUUUCGAUCGGGAAGAUAAUGACGGUACCGGAAGAAGAAGCCCGGCUAACUUCGCGCCAGCAGCCGC
RNAcentral lists this ribosomal RNA (461 nucleotides) under uncultured bacterium. Its description in RNAcentral is "SSU rRNA". It matches the Rfam family "Bacterial small subunit ribosomal RNA", at positions 26 to 518 of the family's 1533-position model. The record is from RNAcentral.